UGCCAGCCGCCGCGGUAAUACGGAGGGUGCAAGCGUUGUUCGGAAUUAUUGGGCGUAAAGCGCGGGCAGGUGGUCUGUUAAGUCGUUUGUGAAAACCCGGGGCUCAACCCCGCGGAAUGCAGACGAUACUGGCAGACUGGAGAUCGGUAGAGGCUAGCGGAAUUCCAGGUGUAGCGGUGGAAUGCGUAGAUAUCUGGAAGAACACCUGUGGCGAAGGCGGUCUCUUGGUCCGAAACUGACGCUGAGGCGCGAAAGCGUGGGGAGCAAACAGGAUUAGAUA
Molecule: ribosomal RNA, 280 nt
Filed under: uncultured bacterium
Lineage: Bacteria
Description: partial 16S ribosomal RNA
Rfam family: Bacterial small subunit ribosomal RNA
Source: RNAcentral